This is a non-coding RNA of Danio rerio (zebrafish), 865 nucleotides long. NCBI's taxonomy places the organism in Eukaryota, Metazoa, Chordata, Actinopteri, Cypriniformes, Danionidae. The record is from Ensembl.
AUCAAUGAUUUGUUAAACAGCUGCUCCUGAUGGAGUGAGGAGGAGGAAUGAGGUGAUCACACAUGAAACCUGCCACCAAUGAUUACGUGAGACUAAAAGGAAGUACACUAACCCACAGAGGAACACCUUUGGCAUUUCAUAACAUACCACAGGACAAGGCUGAUCAAGCCCUGGAGGUCCCUGCUCUCCCUUCUGUCCUUUUAGACCUUUCUUUCCUAUUGAGCCUCUCUCGCCCUGCAUGGAGCCAUAAACAAGUACACAGAAGAAAGCCCUGGGAAACCCUGUCACAGGACAGCCAUGUUAACAAAACUUACCCUCUGUCCAGGUGGACCUCUCUCUCCAGCAUCCCCCUUUUCUCCUUUUACUGCUUCACCAGUUUCACCCACAGAACCCACCUUGGAUCCAGGCAGUCCAUGAUAUCCCUGGAAUAUUUGGAAGAAGCAGGCCCAGGGGGUCCGGGAGGCCCUGGAGGGCCAGGCAAGGAGAUAAUCUGGGCCUAUAAGACAGUUAUCAAGAUCCAUGCUGGUAUGUUUGAUUAAGGCUGGACCUAAGCUGAAUAGUGGGCCUUCAAGUGCACGGUUGAAGAUCUUUGGUUGAAAAAUGUACCUGCAGAGCUUUGAAACGAACAGCAAAAUCAUCAGUUUCUGAGAAUCCAGUUGCUCCUUUUUCUCCAGGCAAACCCUGAGGAACAAACAAACAGAAAUGACAAUGUUAAGCAACAUAGGGAAUAGAAAUGUUUAAUGGGUGAGAGACUUUGAAAAAUUCUGACCUGGGGUCCUGGAUCUCCUUUUUCACCCUAUAAAAUAGGACCAGAAUUACUAUAUAAUGUUACUAUUUACAUGUAAUAAACUGGAUUUUCGUGCAA